Molecule: ribosomal RNA, 429 nt
Filed under: bacterium
Lineage: Bacteria
Description: partial 16S ribosomal RNA
Rfam family: Bacterial small subunit ribosomal RNA
Source: RNAcentral
UAGGGAAUCUUCCACAAUGGACGCAAGUCUGAUGGAGCAACGCCGCGUAAGUGAAGAAGGUUUUCGGAUCGUAAAGCUCUGUUGUUGGUGAAGAAGGAUAGAGGCAGUAACUGGUCUUUAUUUGACGGUAAUCAACCAGAAAGUCACGGCUAACUACGUGCCAGCAGCCGCGGUAAUACGUAGGUGGCAAGCGUUGUCCGGAUUUAUUGGGCGUAAAGCGAGCGCAGGCGGAAUGAUAAGUCUGAUGUGAAAGCCCACGGCUCAACCGUGGAACUGCAUCGGAAACUGUCAUUCUUGAGUGCAGAAGAGGAGAGUGGAAUUCCAUGUGUAGCGGUGGAAUGCGUAGAUAUAUGGAAGAACACCAGUGGCGAAGGCGGCGCUCUGGUCUGCAACUGACGCUGAGGCUCGAAAGCAUGGGUAGCGAACAGG